This 134-nucleotide ribosomal RNA is filed under the name uncultured eukaryote. RNAcentral describes it as "partial small subunit ribosomal RNA". It matches the Rfam family "Eukaryotic small subunit ribosomal RNA", at positions 1651 to 1783 of the family's 1831-position model. The record is from RNAcentral.
CCCUGCCAUUUGUACACACCGCCCGUCGCUCCUACCGAUUGAAUGUGCUGGUGAAGAUUUCGGAUUGGCUGUUCAGUUAGGUUUCCUAGCUCUACAGCUGAGAAGUUGUUUAAACCCUCCCAUUUAGAGGAAGG